Molecule: ribosomal RNA, 458 nt
Filed under: uncultured bacterium
Lineage: Bacteria
Description: partial 16S ribosomal RNA
Rfam family: Bacterial small subunit ribosomal RNA
Source: RNAcentral
CCUACGGGUGGCAGCAGUGAGGAAUAUUGGUCAAUAGCCGGAAGGCUGAACCAGCCAUGCCGCGUGAAGGUCAGUGUCCUAUGGGCGUUAAACUUCUUUUGUGCGGGAGCAAUAAUGGUCACGUGUGGCCAGACGAGAGUAACCGGAGAAAAAGCAUCGGCUAACUCCGUGCCAGCAGCCGCGGUAAUACGGAGGAUGCGAGCGUUAUCCGGAUUUAUUGGGUUUAAAGGGUGCGUAGGCGGGAUGCCAAGUCAGCGGUAAAAAUGCGGUGCUCAACGCCGUCGAGCCGUUGAGACUGGCGUUCGUGAGUGGGCGAGAAGUAUGCGGAAUGCGUGGUGUAGCGGUGAAAUGCAUAGAUAUCACGCAGAACUCCGAUUGCGAAGGCAGCAUACCGGCGCCCUACUGACGCUGAGGCACGAAAGCGUGGGUAUCGAACAGGAUUAGAUACCCCUGUAGUC